GGAAGGAUCAUUAGCAAAUCACGGGAUGGGCCACCGAAGGUGGGCCAUCAUCAGUCCCAGGGAUGGAUGUCUGUAUGACUCUAUCUCUGUGAAUGUUCACGGAUGGGCAAUGCCUCGCCAUGAACCAAGUGCAACGCACAAGUAUAUACACACAUACAAUCAACACAAACAAAAAACAACUUUUAACAAUGGAUCUCUGGGCUCCUGCAACGAUGAAGAACGCAGCGAAAUGCGAAACGUAGUACGAUCCGCACACACCUGUGAGUCAUCGAGUCUUUGAACGCACAUGGCACACUCAGUGUCAACUGAGUGUAUACCUGUUUGAGCGAUGGAACACAUUUAUGAUCUAGAUCUAGAUCAUGAUCUGACUGCGUCUCAGUAUUGAGUCGGUCCAAAUAGAGCGUGUGGGGUGCAGGUGGAUGCUUCUGCCCCGUGUGAGAAUGGAUCGUGGAUCCUUGAUCGCGGGAGCAAGCAGAUUCACACCAUCUGUACAUACAACCACACACCGAGUCGUUAGACUCUCCCUUCGACAAAAUCCUCAAAUCAGGCAAGGCUACCCGCUGAACUUAAGCAUAUCAGUAAGCGGAGGAAAAGAAACUAACAAGGAUUCCCCCAGUAAUGGCGAAUGAAGCGGGAACAGCUCAAAUUUUAAAUCUCAUCACCUCCUGGUGAUGCGAGUUGUAGUUUAGAGAGGGAGUGCUGCAAGGGAAGGCAGGUGUUCAAGUCCACUGGAACGUGGUGCCAGAGAGGGUGACAGCCCCGUUGAAUGGCUACCUCCCCCGUAUAGCACCCCCUCGACGAGUCGAGUUGUUUGGGAAUGCAGCUCAAAGCGGGUGGUAAACCCCAUCCAAGGCUAAAUACAGGCAGGAGACCGAUAGCAAACAAGUACCGUGAGGGAAAGAUGAAAAGCACCUUGAAAAGGGAGUGAAAAGCACGUGAAAUUGUUAGAAGGGAAACGAUUAGUUUCUAGUACAUAGUAAUAUGGUCACAGCGUGUGAGAGGGGUGGGAAAGAGUGGGGAGGAAGGUGGUCUCUACAGACUUUAUAGCCUGCCCAUUGAACCAUCCCCCUGACACUUUUCUAUUGAUUGUGACAAAAUAGAACUAAACGACCCGUCUUGAAACACGGACCAAGGAGUCUAACGUGUGUGCGAGUAUUCGAGUGGCAAACUCGGGUGCGCAAUGAAAGUGUGGCUGUGGGAAUGUAAUAUACAUGCACCAUCUACCGACCACAAUACACUUGUGGUUUGAGUACCAGCACACCCGCUAGGACCCGAAAGAUGGUGAACUAUGCCUGAAUAGGGCGAAGCCAGAGGAAACUCUGGUGGAGGCUCGUAGACGUUCUGACGUGCAAAUCGAUGUUCAAAUUUGGGUAUAGGGGCGAAAGACUAAUCGAACCAUCUGGUAGCUGGUUCCUUC
RNAcentral lists this unclassified non-coding RNA (1417 nucleotides) under uncultured fungus. RNAcentral describes it as "sequence contains 18S rRNA gene, ITS1, 5.8S rRNA gene, ITS2, 28S rRNA gene". The stretch from base 534 to 1417 matches the Rfam family "Eukaryotic large subunit ribosomal RNA", at positions 1 to 961 of the family's 3401-position model. The record is from RNAcentral. Lineage: Eukaryota; Fungi.